RNAcentral lists this ribosomal RNA (774 nucleotides) under Klebsiella oxytoca. Its description in RNAcentral is "bacterial SSU rRNA". It matches the Rfam family "Bacterial small subunit ribosomal RNA", at positions 38 to 804 of the family's 1533-position model. The record is from RNAcentral. Lineage: Bacteria; Pseudomonadati; Pseudomonadota; Gammaproteobacteria; Enterobacterales; Enterobacteriaceae.
CGUAACGGGAGUCUACCAUGCGGUCGACGGUAGCACAGAGAGCUUGCUCUCGGGUGACGAGUGGCGGACGGGUGAGUAAUGUCUGGGAAACUGCCUGAUGGAGGGGGAUAACUACUGGAAACGGUAGCUAAUACCGCAUAACGUCGCAAGACCAAAGAGGGGGACCUUCGGGCCUCUUGCCAUCAGAUGUGCCCAGAUGGGAUUAGCUAGUAGGUGGGGUAACGGCUCACCUAGGCGACGAUCCCUAGCUGGUCUGAGAGGAUGACCAGCCACACUGGAACUGAGACACGGUCCAGACUCCUACGGGAGGCAGCAGUGGGGAAUAUUGCACAAUGGGCGCAAGCCUGAUGCAGCCAUGCCGCGUGUAUGAAGAAGGCCUUCGGGUUGUAAAGUACUUUCAGCGGGGAGGAAGGGAGUAAGGUUAAUAACCUUGUUCAUUGACGUUACCCGCAGAAGAAGCACCGGCUAACUCCGUGCCAGCAGCCGCGGUAAUACGGAGGGUGCAAGCGUUAAUCGGAAUUACUGGGCGUAAAGCGCACGCAGGCGGUCUGUCAAGUCGGAUGUGAAAUCCCCGGGCUCAACCUGGGAACUGCAUUCGAAACUGGCAGGCUGGAGUCUUGUAGAGGGGGGUAGAAUUCCAGGUGUAGCGGUGAAAUGCGUAGAGAUCUGGAGGAAUACCGGUGGCGAAAGGCGGCCCCCUGGACAAAGACUGACGCUCAGGUGCGAAAGCGUGGGGGAGCAAACAGGAUAAGAAACUGUGUGGUUGAUACAAAA